AUGCUGGAGGUAUCAGAAGUGCGAAUGCUGACGUGAGUAACGACAAAACGGGUGAAAAACCCGUUCGCCGAAAGACCAAGGGUUCCAGUCCAACGUUAAUCGGGGCUGGGUGAGUCGACCCCUAAGGCGAGGCCGAAAGGCGUAGUCGAUGGGAAAAUGGUUAAUAUUCCAUUACUUCUGUGUAAUGCGAUGAGAGGACGGAGAAGGCUAAAUCAGCCUGGCGUUGGUUGUCCAGGUGAAAGGAUGUAGGCAUGUAUCUUAGGCAAAUCCGGGGUACUCUAUGCUGAGAUCUGAUAGCAAGCUGUACUUGUACAGCGAAGUGGUUGAUGCCAUGCUUCCAGGAAAAGUCUCUAAGCUUCAGUUACACAGGAAUCGUACCCGAAACCGACACAGGUGGUCAGGUCGAGUAGACCAAGGCGCUUGAGAGAACUCUGCUGAAGGAACUAGGCAAAAUGGUACCGUAACUUCGGGAGAAGGUACGCUGUUGUUGGUGAUGGAACUCGCUUCCUGAGCUGACGACAGCCGCAGAAACCAGGCCGCUGCAACUGUUUAUUAAAAACAUAGCACUCUGCAAACACGAAAGUGGACGUAUAGGGUGUGAUGCCUGCCCGGUGCUGGAAGGUUAAUUGAUGGGGUUAGCGUAAGCGAAGCUCUUGAUCGAAGCCCCAGUAAACGGCGGCCGUAACUAUAACGGUCCUAAGGUAGCGAAAUUCCUUGUCGGGUAAGUUCCGACCUGCACGAAUGGCAUAAUGAUGGCGGCGCUGUCUCCAGCAGAGGCUCAGUGAAAUCGAAAUCGCUGUGAAGAUGCAGUGUACCCGCGGCUAGACGGAAAGACCCCGUGAACCUUUACUGCAGCUUGACACUGAACUUUGACCUUACUUGUGUAGGAUAGGUGGGAGGCUUUGAAGCUGGAACGCUAGUUCCAGUGGAGCCGUCCUUGAAAUACCACCCUGGUAAUGUUGAGGUUCUAACUCUGUCCCGUGAUCCGGGACGAGGACCGUGUCUGGUGGGUAGUUUGACUGGGGCGGUCUCCUCCUAAAGAGUAACGGAGGAGUACGAAGGUGCGCUCAGCGUGGUCGGAAAUCACGCGUAGAGUAUAAAGGCAAAAGCGCGCUUAACUGCGAGACCCACAAGUCGAGCAGGUACGAAAGUAGGUCUUAGUGAUCCGGUGGUUCUGUAUGGAAGGGCCAUCGCUCAACGGAUAAAAGGUACUCUGGGGAUAACAGGCUGAUACCGCCCAAGAGUUCAUAUCGACGGCGGUGUUUGGCACCUCGAUGUCGGCUCAUCUCAUCCUGGGGCUGAAGCAGGUCCCAAGGGGAUGGCUGUUCGCCAUUUAAAGAGGUACGCGAGCUGGGUUUAGA
Molecule: ribosomal RNA, 1361 nt
Filed under: Acinetobacter baumannii
Lineage: Bacteria; Pseudomonadati; Pseudomonadota; Gammaproteobacteria; Moraxellales; Moraxellaceae
Description: partial 23S ribosomal RNA
Rfam family: Bacterial large subunit ribosomal RNA
Source: RNAcentral